CGCGAAAAUGCAUCGGCCAAAAAAAUGCCCGCCUUCGAAGGCGGGCAAAAUCGCUGCGCUCGUUGCUUGGCCGUUCCGGCGCGCCCUCUCGCGAC
This 95-nucleotide transfer RNA is filed under the name Caballeronia arvi. Its description in RNAcentral is "Burkholderia arvi tRNA-???(cg); tRNA-???(cg)". Lineage: Bacteria; Pseudomonadati; Pseudomonadota; Betaproteobacteria; Burkholderiales; Burkholderiaceae. The record is from RNAcentral.